This 435-nucleotide ribosomal RNA is filed under the name uncultured bacterium. Its description in RNAcentral is "partial 16S ribosomal RNA". It matches the Rfam family "Bacterial small subunit ribosomal RNA", at positions 29 to 507 of the family's 1533-position model. The record is from RNAcentral.
AGCGAACGCUGGCGGCAGGCUUAACACAUGCCAGUCGAGCGGGCAUCUUCGGAUGUCAGCGGCAGACGGGUGAGUAACACGUGGGAACGUACCCUUCGGUUCGGAACGACUCUGGGAAACUGGAGCUAAUACCGGAUACGCCCUUAUGGGGAAAGGUUUACUGCCGAAGGAUCGGCCCGCGUCUGAUUAGCUAGUUGGUGGGGUAACGGCCUACCAAGGCGACGAUCAGUAGCUGGUCUGAGAGGAUGAUCAGCCACACUGGGACUGAGGCACGGCCCAGACUCCUACGGGAGGCAGCAGUGGGGAAUAUUGGACAAUGGGCGCAAGCCUGAUCCAGCCAUGCCGCGUGAGUGAUGAAGGCCUUAGGGUUGUAAAGCUCUUUUGUCCGGGACGAUAAUGACGGUACCGGAAGAAUAAGCCCCGGCUAACUUCGUG